UACGUAGGUGGCAAGCGUUGUCCGGAUUUACUGGGCGUAAAGAGCGCGCAGGCGGUCGAAUAAGUCGAAUGUGAAAGCCCCCGGCUUAACUGGGGAGGGUCAUUCGAUACUGCUCGACUUGAAGGCAGGAGAGGGUAGUGGAAUUCCCGGUGUAGUGGUGAAAUGCGUAGAGAUCAGGAAGAACACCGGUGGCGAAAGCGCUCUGCUAGGCCGUAACUGACACUGAGGGACGAAAGCUAGGGGAGCGAAUGGG
RNAcentral lists this ribosomal RNA (253 nucleotides) under uncultured bacterium. RNAcentral's name for it is "partial 16S ribosomal RNA". It matches the Rfam family "Bacterial small subunit ribosomal RNA", at positions 524 to 776 of the family's 1533-position model. The record is from RNAcentral.